This 64-nucleotide transfer RNA is filed under the name Metatropis longirostris. RNAcentral describes it as "tRNA-His". The record is from RNAcentral. Lineage: Eukaryota; Metazoa; Arthropoda; Insecta; Hemiptera; Berytidae.
AUUUAAAUAGUUUAACUAGAAUAAUAACUUGUGGUGUUAUAGGUGUAUAAUUAUACUUUAAAUU